This is a long non-coding RNA of Taeniopygia guttata (zebra finch), 6215 nucleotides long. The record is from Ensembl. Lineage: Eukaryota; Metazoa; Chordata; Aves; Passeriformes; Estrildidae.
AAAGUGUUGCUUUUUAUUACUUCUUAAGUUUUCUUCAAUUUAUUUAAUUAAUAUUAAUUAAUUUUAAAUUAUUUUCCACAUUCUCUUGCCAGCAGAAAUCACUGCAGGGAGCUGUGCAGGGGCUCUGCUUGCAUAACAUUCAGUAAUCAGUCAGAAUUUCAGCUGCUCAAUGACCAUGUGUUUCUGCUGGGCUUCUUCCACAGAGUUCCUGUGUCUGGGAGGCUAAACUAUUUAAAUGCUCAGUAUCUCACCCUUCUAUUCAAACCAGAUCAUUGUCAUCAAAAUUUACAAAACAAUCACUCUAUGAUACACAGCUCUAAUCUAAUAAAGAUUUAUAACUAAUAAAAGCUAAAUAUCCUCAUUAUUCUUUGAAGAAUUUAGAGUGUGGCAUAAAGUUGAUGAUGUCUGCCAAUGUAUAAAACUACUGUUGUUAGGAUGUGCUAAGUCUACUUGGUGAUACCAUAUCUAGAUUAAGUUGUUUCAACUUAUUAUAACUGCUCCCAAGCUGUCACAUUGUCAGUCAAGGCAAAAAUCUUGUUCCUGGAGUUGGAAAUGUAUUCUGUGUUUCUUUACAGCAUAUGCCUAUCUUCUAGGACAACCUCCUCUGUCCACAGCCUCCUGUGAAUAUUUGUUUAGAGUUACUGAUCAUCAUAGAUGAUGAUCUGUAUUGUGUCAUGUUGUAGAGCUGGUGGAUCUGAGGACUACAAGGUGUAACUUGCAAGUUUGUUCCUUUUUAUCUAUCUCUUUAUAUUAUUUCAAACCCCUAGUUCCUCUUCUAACUUUAGGGUUUUUCAGUAUGUGUUCUCAUUUUUUAUUUUGUUAAAUACAUUGUCUACAGGUGAGAAGCCCUAUUUUAUUAGUGUAUUUUUCUAAGAUGUUGCAUCAGAGACUAUUAUUUUGCAUUAUAAAUACUCAAAAUUAUACAUAGAGUAUGUGUGGAAGUUUUAGUUGUAAAUACAGUAACAGUACUUCAAGAAUUAUUUAUCUAGUUAAUAUAGUCUUACUUGUAAUUGUAUUUUUAUUUCAACUUUGUCAAUAAUCCUCAAGAUUUCAAGCCAGGGAUAAUAAAUUGAAGUGGUAAUGAACUUUGGAACUUCAUUAAUAAAAUGAUGCAAAGUCUGUUAGGUGGAAGAGGACAUUAAUUUAUGAGCCAAUAGAUACUACUGGCCUGAAGGCUUCAGUUGAUUGUUAUAGCAAAGGUACAGGCAAGUCUCAUUAGCAUCUAACUGCAACAGUUUUAUCAACCAGGUUUGCCAAUAAAUGACAACUUUUUAAAAUACUGAUUUCUACCACAUCAUUGAAGUGAGGACAAUGGAGACUGGAAGUUAUCCACAGUGACAGAAUACAGUGUCAGUACCACUGAGAAAGGAGCAUGUUGGCUUUUCUCUUCACUUGUCUUUUUUACUUAGUGACUGAGACCAAUAAACCUUUCUGUCAUUGGAAAGUCUGAGAGAUAGGACUGGUGUCUUUCAGCUGGAAAAUCAGUAUCCAGCUUUUCUCUGCAUUCCAUGUUAUACCAACUUUCCUACCUGCGCUGCCAUUGGCUCAAGUCUAGGGCUUGCUGUGCCUCUGGCACACUAAACAAUAUUCUUUCCACCACCCUGAAAUGCUUUUCAGCCUCCUAUUUACUCAUGUAUCUAGUCUCUAUAACCCUUUAAUAAUGACAUGCUUAUCCGUGUCAUCUCUGAAUUUUACUUGGAUAUUCCUUGCUCUACUUGUUGUUUUAUUUUUUAAUUGCAUGUAAGACUGCACCUAGCAUGGUACUCAUGUGCCAUUGCCCAAUGUAAUAAAUAUUUUAUUUCAUUUAAAGCUGAUAGCAUAUUCAUUUCCCACUGCAACACUGAGCUUUCCCCUAUGAACAUUUCACUGGAGGUGGCACUGCAGAGGUCUUGUCCGUGUUGUGCAAGCUCUGCUGCUUCUGGCAAAAUGUGCAAAGCUGAUCCAUGACAUUUCUGGCUUCUGCAUGCCAAAUAUAUUUUCAGUUUAUCCCGGUUAUCAUAGACCAUGUGUGGUUCUCCAUGAUUUGAUCUUUGAGCUUACAUCUCUCAGAGCUCUUGUAUGGCAUAUUUUGUAUUUUCAUGGAGUUUAGAUCUGACUUGCACUUAAUUUUGGACUGGAUGACGGCCAGAGGCUGGUUCUUUGACCUUCUAUCAAUUUUGAAAAUUUUGAGGGUGAAUAAAUUCCCUUAUUAAGAGGACAAACCUUAAUUUGGAUUUUCUGAAAAAUUCUUGGGAGAGACACACCUUAGUAAUCUUUGAAAAGGUAAGAAUCAGCCAGACACAUGCAUUUUUUCAGCUUCACCUUAUUUUUUUUUAUUUGCCUAAAGAAAAUAAGUUUUAACAUUUCAUUUUUACGUGAAGUGCACUAUCUCAUCAUGUAUAUGGAUUUCUAAAGAGUCACUGCCAGAAUUGACUGGAACCUCUUAAACAUUUCAAAUGCAUCAAAAUUCAGUAUUAAGAAAAAUAAAGCUUCUGAUUGUCUUCCUUUUUACUGGCAUACAUGGCUUUUAAAUAAACAUGGAUUCAUAGCACAUACACAUGCAAUUUAUGAUUUCCCAAUUGCCUUCUGUAUUUCCAGACUUUCAGCUCUUCAGAACAUCUCAGUAGCUUCUUUUCUGUUGAAGUUACACCGCAUGGCAUCUUUUUAUUCCUGAUACCAUCUGGCAUUCCUUAAUCCCUCUGCACCCAAACUGCUUUCAAAGUUAUUCCUUAUUAGUGACGCAUUUCCAGCUGUCUCUGCUUAACCCAGUGAAGGCUUUUGCCGUGUCCCUGCUCCCGAGCCUGGGCAACUGAACCAUUUACAGUCACGGUGGCCAAGGCUAUGCCUUGGGAGGGAACAUGCUGUAGGCAGUCCCUGCACUGGAAGUCAUGGUGUGGGAAUGACACACUGGCAGAGGGGGUCAGUCUCCAGGUUCUUCCAAGAGAAGGACACCUUUUAAGUAAGAAAUAUAUUCAAAAUGCAGCCAAUACUAUUUGCCUGAUUAUGGUGUAUUACAACCUGAUAUUUCAGUAGAACACAGUGAAAUUAUCAGAGUAAUUGUUCCCAUGAGAUUCACAGAGAAAUGGCCCAGGGUCUCAAAAUAAAUAACCUUUAGGGCACUUCCUUGAGAUAUUGUUUUUGGAAAAUAUUAUCGAUCUCCAGAAAAUAAAUCUAAUACACCUCAGUUUGUUUAUGUAGCAUUGAGCCCUGUAAACAUUCAUGCUCAUUUCUCUUGGCCGCUGCUCUGAUGUGAAGAGCUGACAUCACCAUUGAGUGACAAAAGUACCAAGUGGGAAUUCUGUUCUCACAUGCUCUUCCCAGGACAGCCAAUAUAAGCCACAGGGGUGUAAAUGAGCAGAUGCUUUUCUCUUCUUGUGCAGAUACCUUCUGUCAGAGGGCACAUUGCUGAGCAAGAGUCUCAACUCCUAAGUUUUGUCUUUUUUCUUCUGCACAAGUAGCUGCUGCUGCUGUUAUUAUCGCUAUUAUUAAUCAUCAGUAUUGUUAUGUGAUGCUGCAGCUCUAUUCCCCUUCUUCUAAGAUGUUGUUUCUGUCACAGCCUUUUCUGCCUUUGAUCACAACCGAGAAAAAGGCUUUGACAUUGUAUGUAUUCCCCUAGCCCACUGCAAAGUCCUAAUCCUUCUAAUAGCUGGAGGUUUUCAGUUUAAGUCUUUUAUUAAUAUUCAGUCUUAAUUGUAAAGCACUUCAGUGAUAUCCAAAAGCCUAUCUUACAUAACAGUCUUAUCCACAUUUGAGUUCUUCAGAGCUGGAGUGUCAGGAAAAACCUCUGUUUGAUCUGCCUCGCCUGUCAUUAGUCCUCACGCCUUUAAUGCAAAAACCCAUUAACAAUAUAUUUCAACUGUCUAAGCUCAGAUAAUGUAUAUUUUUAAAUAUUUGAUAUUAUUAGAAAGAGUAUGACUUGCUGUCAUGUACAUAUUUAAGUGGUGUCGUGAGCAGAGUCUUUAUAAAGUCUUCUGGGAGCCUUGUUUGCAUCUCUAAAUCAUCUGGAAAGUGAAAGAAGCUAUAGGAAAUUUAGGUAAUUAAAACAUUUCAUAAAGUGGCAGUGAUUAUAAGAUCCUACUAUGCCUUAGGUUUUCCUCAGCUGGGUAAACAGGCAAGAGCACCUGGAAACUGGGAAAUACUUCCUUCCUGAUGGUGGAUAUCCCAGAAAGUCACUGAAAAGUAAUAAAAGAAAGACCUUUUUGCUAAUCAAUAAUACAUUUUUGAAUUACGGGUUUUAAGAUUUUAAUUAAUUGUAAAUGAUCAUUCACUUUCCUCUUACAGUGAUUCACCUAUUUUAGGAAAUUGCCAGCUCUUCCCAAUGUUUAUAUAUUUUAGUAAAGACUAGGAGUGAGCCUUCACACUAAAACUGGCGUAUUUACAAUAUGAACCCUUCGUGUUUACUUAAGGAGAUGGUUUUCAGAGGAUCGAUUCAGCUCAGACAUAUAGUGUCCAGACUGAACAAAGCCCAAAGUGCAAAGAUAGCCUGAAGUGAGAGCUUUUCCAAUAAACUAAUGUAGAAAGCAGAGUUCUAAAACAGUUUGAUGUAACUAAUAAGCAGAUAAAAGAGAGAUAUAAACUUGUGCUUCAGAUGGUAAAUAUUAACAUCUCCUUAAAAUCCACCUAAAAGGACAAAGGACAUACCAGCACAUGUCCACAGUUUGUAUGUCAGAGUAUGUCAGAGGCAGAUUUCUGUUUCCUCCAGCUUCUGUACAUGCUGUGUUGAAAGAUUUUUAGAAGCCUGCAAAACUUUCUCCUUUGCAUCUGAACAGAGAAUCUUAAAUCCAAAAUCCUGAGGACCCCUUUGGAAAGCAGAUGUUACUUCCUGUUCUUCACAUGGAAAGGAGCUAAGCCAUAGUGCAGUAAAGCUGAAAUCCCUGGAGGAACUCUUCACUGGGGGGAAGUACCUGAAUUUAUCAUUUCUGAUUCAAGCAAAAUUUUGGGCAGUAAGGGUGGUCAUGAACUCAUCUUUUGACAGCAGUUCCCUGCUUCACACUGGUGUAUGUUGAUUGCCUGAAAACUGCGAAGCUGGUUUUUGACACUGCACAGCUAAAACGACUUAUUCUUUAAUAAUUAUGUAAUAUAAAUGUUUCUCUAGAUGUUGAAUUGUUGGAAAUCACUAAAAACCUAAAUUAUUCAAUAUAACUUGAUAAUUGUACUAAUGAGAUUUUGUUAGAUACAACAUAGCACCCCUCUGAAGUGAAGAAUACAAAACACUUUGCAACAAACUUAUUUGUACUGUUGACAACUGAAAGGUAAUUUAGGCAGGGUGAUACUUCUGAAGCUGUAAUUUUGUUCAGGACAUCAGGUCUUCUAUUUAAUUAUUGAAAAAAAAAUAGAUCCUUAAAGAUAAGGAAUUCUCAGUGCCUCUGUCUAGUUUCCUGUGCCAGUGGCACUGGUGGCAGCAUCUUGUCCCUCUUGCUCCAUGAACCUGCUGGCUCAGCAGGGAGGUGGGCAUGCGUGCACAGGAGCUGUUUCAGCUGAUGCUCAAACCAGGUGUCCUUCCUCACUGGGGUCCUAGGGCUGUUUGUGAUCUGAAAGGCACUACUGGCUGCUGACAAACCUGACCACAUUUUGUAACUCAGCUUCCUUUGUAACAACUUUUCUUUCUGGUUAUAAACCAGACGUGCCAAACCCUGUCUCUCCCUGGAGCUAUAUUCUGCUUAUAACUGUGUUGGUUAUGUACCAAUAUCAAUGUUCAUUAAAUAAAAAGAUUUGAGAGAGAGCAGCUCUAUGGAGAGAGAACAGCUACCCCAGAGAUAAUGAGUGAUUCACUCCAGUUGAUCCCAAAUGCAUUUCAACUCACUAUAGUUAUUUCUUACUCUUGCCUGUUUGUUGUAUAACUGAGUUUACAUUGUAUAAUGGAGUUGUUCCAUGACACAUUCAGUUGUUCAGCCCAUAUUUUAGUUGUUGGUGUUGAAAGAGUCAAAGGAUGAAAGCAGUGCCUACUUUUAUUCUGAUUUCCCAGGUGCAUCAAAAGUGGCAGUAUAAAAUAUGAGGACUGAUGUAUGAUAAUCUUGUUACACCUUAAUACUUUUCCCACUGGAAAAUGUCCCUCUCCCAAAAUAAAUACAAGAGGUCUUCUUUGCCAGGAGACUGGCCUGAGAUCUGGCUGCUAGACAAUGGGCAAGCAAUAGUAAUUUAUUCAGCUUUGUCCCUAAACUUCCAACCCAAAUUGCAAGUAUCUGGCCUUCAGUGCUGCUCUCUUUCCAUUCCCUGAACUAAUUCUUAAGGCAGUU